GCGGGCGUGGUGAAAUUGGCAGACACGCAGGAUUUAGGUUCCUGUGGGCUCGUCCCGUGGGGGUUCAAGUCCCUCCGCCCGCACCA
RNAcentral lists this transfer RNA (86 nucleotides) under Hyphomicrobiales bacterium. RNAcentral's name for it is "tRNA-Leu". It matches the Rfam family "tRNA". From Rfam's summary of the family: Transfer RNA (tRNA) molecules are approximately 80 nucleotides in length. Their secondary structure includes four short double-helical elements and three loops (D, anti-codon, and T loops). Lineage: Bacteria; Pseudomonadati; Pseudomonadota; Alphaproteobacteria; Hyphomicrobiales. The record is from RNAcentral. RNAcentral also lists the same sequence under 3 other names.